UACGGGGGGAGCAAGCGUUGUUCGGAAUCACUGGGCGUAAAGGGUGCGUAGGUGGUUUGUUAAGUCCGUUGUGAAAUCCCUGGGCUCAACCUGGGAAUGGCAGUGGAUACUGGCAAGCUAGAGUGCGGUAGAGGGUAGUGGAAUUCCCGGUGUAGCAGUGAAAUGCGUAGAGAUCGGGAGGAACACCAGUGGCGAAGGCGGCUACCUGGACCAGCACUGACACUGAGGCACGAAAGCGUGGGGAGCAAACAGG
RNAcentral lists this ribosomal RNA (253 nucleotides) under uncultured bacterium. RNAcentral's name for it is "partial 16S ribosomal RNA". It matches the Rfam family "Bacterial small subunit ribosomal RNA", at positions 524 to 776 of the family's 1533-position model. The record is from RNAcentral.